GAUACAUUGGACGAUUGGCUAAGUUACCACCCUUUCAAGGUGGCGAGACGGGUUCGAUUCCCGUAUGUAUCA
RNAcentral lists this transfer RNA (72 nucleotides) under Lachnospiraceae bacterium. Its description in RNAcentral is "tRNA-Glu". It matches the Rfam family "tRNA". From Rfam's summary of the family: Transfer RNA (tRNA) molecules are approximately 80 nucleotides in length. Their secondary structure includes four short double-helical elements and three loops (D, anti-codon, and T loops). Lineage: Bacteria; Bacillati; Bacillota; Clostridia; Lachnospirales; Lachnospiraceae. The record is from RNAcentral.